GACGUGGUGUAAAUAUUGGGCGGUAGUGGAUGUUAUAACGCUGAAUUAUUAAACUGUAAGUGACUGUUGUAUUUCUUAUUUAUAAAU
This 87-nucleotide transfer RNA is filed under the name Salmonella sp. FORC89. RNAcentral's name for it is "tRNA-Leu". The record is from RNAcentral. Lineage: Bacteria; Pseudomonadati; Pseudomonadota; Gammaproteobacteria; Enterobacterales; Enterobacteriaceae.